RNA transcript from Mus musculus (house mouse), 2466 nucleotides. It is a transcript of the gene named large 60S subunit nuclear export GTPase 1, with no coding region annotated. Lineage: Eukaryota; Metazoa; Chordata; Mammalia; Rodentia; Muridae. The transcript has 14 exons. The record is from RefSeq and is marked validated.
UCACUUCCGGGUUCACAGCCGGAGAAACCGGAAGCCUCGCGUGCUGAGCAGUGGUUUGUGCUGUUGAUGCGUGGUUAUGGGUCGGAGACGAGCGCCGGGUGGUGGGUCCCUGGGCCGAGUACUUAUCCGGCAGCAGACUCAGCGAAGCCGCAGCCACCGUCAUACUGACUCCUGGCUGCAUACAAGUGAACUCAAUGAUGGCUAUGACUGGGGUCGUCUGAAUCUUCAGUCUGUGACAGAGCAGAGCUCCCUGGAGGACUUUCUUGCAACUGCAGAACUUGCAGGGACCGAGUUUGUGGCUGAGAAGCUGAAUAUUAAGUUUGUACCCCCUGAGGCUAGAACCGGACUGCUGUCUUUUGAGGAGAGCCAGAGAAUUAAGAAACUCCACGAAGAAAACAGACAGUUCUUGUGUAUACCAAGGAGUUUCUAUGAUUGUUUCAGGCCAAAUUGGGACAGAAAAACUAGCCCAGAAGAACUGAAACAAGCAGAGAAAGAUAACUUCCUGAAAUGGAGGCGCCAGCUUGUGCGGCUAGAAGAGGAACAGAAGUUGAUAUUGACUCCCUUUGAACGGAACUUGGACUUCUGGCGCCAGCUCUGGAGGGUCAUUGAGAGAAGUGAUAUUGUGGUCCAGAUCGUAGAUGCUCGAAACCCGCUCCUGUUUAGAUGUGAGGAUUUGGAGUGUUACGUGAAAGAGAUCGAUGCUGCCAAGGAGAACGUGAUCCUGAUAAACAAGGCAGACUUGCUGACUGCUGAGCAGCGGUUUGCCUGGGCUGUGCACUUUGAAAAGGAAGGGGUAAAGGUUAUCUUCUGGUCAGCUUUGGCAGAAACUGAUCACCUAAAUGGUGACUUGAAGGAGGAAGUAGACAGUGUUGCUGGAGACACCAACAAAACAGAGUCUGAAAGCUCCAGUUUGGAUGCGAAUGAAAUCCCACACAGAGACUUGAUCUCGCUUAGUGAGGAGUCCGCAAGUGACAGUGGUGACAGCAAAUAUGAGGACUGUCAGGAGGACGAAGAGGAAGAUUGGCAGACGUGUUCAGAAGAAGACAGCGUCCCUGAGGAGGAGGAGGGCUGUAAUGCGGAUUCUGAGACUCAGAACAGAAAAAACGCAGAAAAUCAACAAGUGAACAAUGAUAGCUACCUGGUGUCGAAACAGGAAUUACUGGAACUCUUUAAGAAACUCCACACUGGAAAGAAAGUGAAAGAUGGACAGCUAACUGUUGGGCUGGUAAGAUGAAGGACACUGAAGCCAGCACAUGAGAGAGCCUGCAGCAGUCCCUGUCCUUCCACAGCUACAGGUGGACCCACACAGUCAGGCAGGCUUCUGCACCACAGGGAAGACACAGGGAAGGUGGGCUACCCUAAUGUUGGUAAGAGCUCAACCAUCAACACCAUCAUGGGCAACAAGAAAGUAUCGGUGUCUGCCACGCCAGGCCACACCAAGCAUUUCCAGACCCUGUACGUGGAGCCUGGCCUCUGCCUGUGUGACUGCCCGGGCCUGGUGAUGCCAUCUUUCGUGUCCACCAAAGCAGAGAUGAUUUGCAAUGGGAUCCUCCCUAUCGACCAGAUGAGAGACCACGUUCCACCCGUAUCACUAGUUUGCCAGAAUAUCCCACGGCGAGUUUUGGAAGUGACAUAUGGUAUUAACAUUAUAAAGCCUAGAGAAGAUGAAGACCCCUACCGACCUCCAACCUCAGAAGAACUGUUGACGGCUUAUGGAUGCAUGAGAGGAUUCAUGACAGCACAUGGGCAGCCAGACCAGCCUCGAUCUGCACGGUACAUCCUAAAGGACUAUGUUGGAGGUAAACUACUGUAUUGCCACCCUCCUCCUGGAAAAGACCCUGUGGCGUUCCAGCACCAACACCAGCAGCUCCUAGAGAGCAAAGUAAAAGGUGGAGAACUGAGACUUCAGCCGGGCAAAGGCCGAAAAGCCAAACAGAUCGAAAAUGUAGUCGACAAAACUUUUUUCCAUCAGGAGAACGUCAGAGCACUGACCAAAGGUGUCCAGGCUGUCAUGGGUUACAAGCCCGGGCAUGGCCUGGUGACUGCGGCUGCUGCGAGCGCUGAGAAUGUACCUGGGAAGCCCUGGAAAAAACACGGUAACAGAAACAAAAAAGAGAAAAGCCGUAGGCUCUACAAGCACCUGGAUGUGUGAGCUCGGCUGAACAGAGACGGCAGGCAGCUGCGCUGUGCGGGAGGACACGAGCUCAAACCGCCACUGCUGCUGUCGCUGCCGUGCUGCUCUCCUGACCACUGCACUGUGGACUGGACCCUGCUCUCCUGGAGAGCACAGUCGCACCAGAAGUCUUGACAUCAAGACAGCCUUUCGGAAGCACCUGCUGUGGCCGUGGUAGUCAUGGGGUGCCCCAGAAGUCUCAUCCUGCAGAAGGAUGGUGGAUAUGUGUACAAGCAUACAAAUGCACAUUGACUUUGAGGUUUUGGGAAGUUAUUAAAAUUAAUUUUCCACUA